AGUGAACGCUGGCGGCAGGCCUAACACAUGCAAGUCGAACGGCAGCACAGCAGUAGCAAUACUGUGGGUGGCGAGUGGCGGACGGGUGAGGAACGCAUCGGAAUCUGCCCAGUCGUGGGGGAUAACGGAGGGAAACUUACGCUAAUACCGCAUACGACCGAGAGGUGAAGGCGGGGGAUCGCAAGACCUCGCGCGAUUGGAUGAGCCGAUGCCGGAUUAGCUAGUUGGCGGGGUAAAAGCCCACCAAGGCGACGAUCCGUAGCUGGUCUGAGAGGAUGAUCAGCCACACUGGAACUGAGACACGGUCCAGACUCCUACGGGAGGCAGCAGUGGGGAAUAUUGGACAAUGGGCGCAAGCCUGAUCCAGCCAUGCCGCGUGGGUGAAGAAGGCCUUCGGGUUGUAAAGCCCUUUUGUCCGGAAAGAAAAGCUUCGGGUUAAUAACCCGGGGUCAUGACGGUACCGGAAGAAUAAGCACCGGCUAACUUCGUGCCAGCAGCCGCAGUAA
Molecule: ribosomal RNA, 506 nt
Filed under: uncultured bacterium
Lineage: Bacteria
Description: partial 16S ribosomal RNA
Rfam family: Bacterial small subunit ribosomal RNA
Source: RNAcentral